Molecule: ribosomal RNA, 719 nt
Filed under: Bacillus cereus
Lineage: Bacteria; Bacillati; Bacillota; Bacilli; Caryophanales; Bacillaceae
Description: bacterial SSU rRNA
Rfam family: Bacterial small subunit ribosomal RNA
Source: RNAcentral
GAGUUUGAUCCUGGCUCAGGAUGAACGCUGGCGGCGUGCCUAAUACAUGCAAGUCGAGCGAAUGGAUUAAGAGCUUGCUCUUAUGAAGUUAGCGGCGGACGGGUGAGUAACACGUGGGUAACCUGCCCAUAAGACUGGGAUAACUCCGGGAAACCGGGGCUAAUACCGGAUAACAUUUUGAACGCAUGGUUCGAAAUUGAAAGGCGGCUUCGGCUGUCACUUAUGGAUGGACCCGCGUCGCAUUAGCUAGUUGGUGAGGUAACGGCUCACCAAGGCAACGAUGCGUAGCCGACCUGAGAGGGUGAUCGGCCACACUGGGACUGAGACACGGCCCAGACUCCUACGGGAGGCAGCAGUAGGGAAUCUUCCGCAAUGGACGAAAGUCUGACGGAGCAACGCCGCGUGAGUGAUGAAGGCUUUCGGGUCGUAAAACUCUGUUGUUAGGGAAGAACAAGUGCUAGUUGAAUAAGCUGGCACCUUGACGGUACCUAACCAGAAAGCCACGGCUAACUACGUGCCAGCAGCCGCGGUAAUACGUAGGUGGCAAGCGUUAUCCGGAAUUAUUGGGCGUAAAGCGCGCGCAGGUGGUUUCUUAAGUCUGAUGUGAAAGCCCACGGCUCAACCGUGGAGGGUCAUGAAACUGGGAGACUUGAGUGCAGAAGAGGAAAGUGGAAUUCCAUGUGUAGCGGUAAAUGCGUAGAGAUAUGGAGGAACACCAG